CAGAUUUGAAAACAAUUUUGUUUGUGCGCAGUGCGCACGUCGAGUAUGUAAGGUGCACCUUUAAAUUUUGACGGAGGAUGCAAUUCAUCAAGAAAACCUUACAAUGGCUUGAAAAUCCAUAUUCAACUUUAACUAUGAAAUUGAAAAUCUAAAACCGGUGAAGAUCAAGCAUAUCUAUAGACAUUUAUAAAAUCUUGUAAAUCGACCGUAUAGAUAAUAUGUUACAAAAUGUGUUUUUUGUAGGACUUGAAAUUUUUUUUUUUCUUUAUAUUCAUAUUUCUCAAAGUUGAGAUUAUCAAUCGGAUGGUUUUUCAAUUUUGGAAUAUUAUUUUCUACUAGAUUUUUGAAGUGCACUUUACUUCUAUGGUAUAAAAUUGCAAC
This 381-nucleotide long non-coding RNA is filed under the name Amborella trichopoda. RNAcentral describes it as "long non-coding RNA (ATRI_LNC004839)". Lineage: Eukaryota; Viridiplantae; Streptophyta; Magnoliopsida; Amborellales; Amborellaceae. The record is from RNAcentral.